Molecule: long non-coding RNA, 666 nt
Filed under: Equus caballus (horse)
Lineage: Eukaryota; Metazoa; Chordata; Mammalia; Perissodactyla; Equidae
Description: lncRNA (ENSECAG00000052881.1)
Source: RNAcentral
GAAGAACUGGUCAGAUUAUCUCGUAUUUACAAAAAUGCUUUCCUACUUACCUAAGAGCUAAGAGAUUUGAGAAUUGAUUGAGGAAAUAUUCAUUAGACAUUUUUGAGACUUUUAAAAUAUAGAAGCUGAUGUAUGUUAAGACGUUUAAGAAGUUUAAUAUAAAUAGUGUGAAUAAUUCUCAGCUUCACUAUUGGUCAGGGAAAUACAAAUUAAAACCAGUCUUUUGGCUGAAAAGUCCAUAUGCUGAGUGAAAAAUAUGUUGUUUUUAAGACCUGGGUUGGAAAGUUCAUCGACUCUGCAGCAUAGUGAGAGAUUCCAUUCUUGGAACUUGGAAAAAAGGUCCAAGGGAUGUGGAAGUUAGGGGAUAGGUUUAUUGGACAAGAUGUUUAUGAAGUGUUCCUGGGUUCAUAAGAGAUAUGAGUCCUAGAAUGAUACACCCAGUGUUCUUCUGUUAUGGAAGUUCCACUUCCUACUGGUCAUGAAUCUACCGACCCAGCAGAAAAGAAGGCAUAAUCAGUAUUCCCAAGAAAUACCGUAACAGGAGACCAAAGCAAGAAUGGCUGUCUUUCUUGGGGCAAGCGACAUGUCAGACAGGACUGGUCUCUGAGAUAAAAAGAUAACAGAAGUCUGUGGGCUUUAUGUCACUGCAGAGGAAAUAAAACAUUU